ACAGCAGUAGCCGCGGUAAUACGAGGGGGGCAAGCGUUGUUCGGAAUUAUUGGGCGUAAAGGGUGCGUAGGCGGUUCAGCAAGUCUCGUGUGAAAUCUUCGGGCUCAACCCGAAGUCUGCACGGGAAACUACUGGGCUCGAGUAAUGGAGAGGUAAGUGGAAUUUCCGGUGUAGCGGUGAAAUGCGUAGAUAUCGGAAGGAACACCUGUGGCGAAAGCGGCUCACUGGACAUUUACUGACGCUGAUGCACGAAAGCUAGGGGAGCAAACAGGAUUAGAUACCCCAGUAGUCCCUGUCUCUUAUAC
This 305-nucleotide ribosomal RNA is filed under the name uncultured bacterium. Its description in RNAcentral is "partial 16S ribosomal RNA". It matches the Rfam family "Bacterial small subunit ribosomal RNA", at positions 508 to 807 of the family's 1533-position model. The record is from RNAcentral.